This 418-nucleotide ribosomal RNA is filed under the name uncultured bacterium. RNAcentral's name for it is "bacterial SSU rRNA". It matches the Rfam family "Bacterial small subunit ribosomal RNA", at positions 361 to 776 of the family's 1533-position model. The record is from RNAcentral.
AUAUUGGUCAAUGGUCGGGAGACUGAACCAGCCAAGCCGCGUGAGGGAGGAAGGUACAGAGUAUCGUAAACCUCUUUUGUCAGGGAACAAAGGCGGGGACGUGUCCCCGGAUGAGUGUACCUGAAGAAAAAGCAUCGGCUAACUCCGUGCCAGCAGCCGCGGUAAUACGGAGGAUGCGAGCGUUAUCCGGAUUCAUUGGGUUUAAAGGGUGCGUAGGCGGCCUUUUAAGUCAGCGGUGAAAGUCUGUGGCUCAACCAUAGAAUUGCCGUUGAAACUGGGAGGCUUGAGUAUGUUCGAGGCAGGCGGAAUGCGUGGUGUAGCGGUGAAAUGCAUAGAUAUCACGCAGAACCCCGAUUGCGAAGGCAGCCUGCCAAGCCAUGACUGACGCUGAUGCACGAAAGCGUGGGGAUCAAACAGG